UACGGAGGAUCAAGCGUUAUCCGGAAUCAUUGGGUUUAAAGGGUCCGUAGGCGGUUUAGUAAGUUCAGUGGUGAAAGCCCAUCGCUCAACGGUGGAACGGCCAUUGAUACUGCUAGACUUGAAUUGAUAGGAAGGUAACUAGAAUAUGUAGUGUAGCGGAUGAAAUGCUUAGAGAUUACAUGGAAUACCAAUUGCGAAGGCAGGUUACCUACUAAUGGAUUGACGCUGAUGGACGAAAGCGUGGGGUAGCGAACAGG
RNAcentral lists this ribosomal RNA (257 nucleotides) under uncultured bacterium. RNAcentral describes it as "partial 16S ribosomal RNA". It matches the Rfam family "Bacterial small subunit ribosomal RNA", at positions 524 to 776 of the family's 1533-position model. The record is from RNAcentral.